CACAAAGUGAAGUUAAUUUGAUUAAUCAGGUGUUCUUGGUGUGUGUUUGUCCACGAAUGGUGAUUCAAUUUGAUUGGUCUGUAGGUGGUGAUGUCAUACCCACUGAUCUCUAAUCUCCAAUCGCUCUCUGAUCUUGAAUCAUGCUCCUGAGCACAGCACAAGUUACCAUGGUGAUUUACCCUGGAUAUGAUUUAGGGAAAAUCUGUAUUCUGCUCUGUAGUCGGGGCGUCUGAUCACCAAUGUUAGAUAAAUGAAUCCAGAUAAAAAGAUAACCUGGGUGUGUUGAACCAGCUUCAUGUUUAGGCCUCGAGCUGCUGCAAAACUUCAUGUUACAAGAACUGAGAAGUAAUUCAGUGUUUUUUCUUAGGAGCUGGACCGCGAUCUGCACACUGCAUGACAGAGCUGCAAGAUACGUCAAACCAAAACGAUGACACGUACGCCACCAUCCCCGACCUGCCACAGACUGGAACCCUGCCCGACUCGACAUAUUCCUUGAUUGGUUCCACUUUUCACGCUGGCAGUAAUAAAGGUUUAUUAAAGCAGAAUGACCCCACAUACGCCACCAUCACCUACCUGCCACACACCACAGACAUGAACGAUUCUCCAUAUUCUUUGGUUGGUGAGUCUUUCAAUGAUGGAAAUCAACAAGGUUCAAAGCAGCUGACUGACAGCACGUACGUCUUACUGCAGAAGCCCAAACCACCAAGACCAGUUUAACUUUAUCUGAUGGGCCAGUCAAAAAUAUUGGUUUGUCUCAAUGUUUUACUGUAAAAAUGUAUGUAAUUGUAUUUUUAUAUGUAUAUAAUAUGAAGUUCAUGUAUCCUUCAAUUUUGUACCCCCAUAUAAAAUGCGAUUAUUAAUGAAACUAUUAAUGCAACAUAAGAGAGACGUGUUGUUGAAUCCUGUCGUAAAUCUGUUGGAGCAAAGAUGACUCCAUACAUUCAGUUUCCAUGUAAAAAUCAAUAAAUCAAUAAAAUGAUGUGGGAUAAAUAUAUUUAUAUAUCCCAGUACCCUGAUGUGUGUGUGGGUCCUUCUACAGUUGUAAAUUUGAAUUGUGUGUUUACUUUGUUUUUGUUUGUUAGAUAUUUUAUUCUUUUUUAAACUUUUUUUUUUUUAAAGUUAAAAAAUUUGACAUGUGUGACCACUGUCGGCUCUGGACUCUAGAUCAGAAUUCAGACUUUCAUUUUGUUUUGCCAUUUAGGUUUUCCUAAAUGGAAACUAGGAAUUAUUCCUAAUGGUCUAUUUCAGGAACCAGUGGCUAAAAAAGGCCAAUAAACCGUCUGAAUCCAGCCUCAGGUGUUCUUAACUAAAUCUAACCACGGCCAAUAUAAACAAAAGGCCGUUAUUAAACCAGGACCAGGUCGGGCUGUCCUCAGCUCAUUCUGUUACUCAACCUCGAUGUGCCUGCUUCCUGUCAUUUCACAACAUGUAUCCCUCUGACUGCAUGUCCUCUGUUGGGUUUAUCUAGGCACAAACUCCGCUGGAACACAAGCCCAAACUGCACGACAAAACAAGACAAACAGAGCUCUUUGUCUUUGUGGCUCGCAAGGGAGUCAGCCCAGGUCUUCACCUGUGCUUAGCCAACUUCGACUGAUUCCUUCGCUACAGCCCUUUUUAUUGUCAGCAAGCAAUCAUUCAUGAAUAUGCAAUUACAAAUACACGUGACAGUCUUAAGCAGGCAUAUCUGAACAACAUCAGUGUCUGUGUGUGUGUGUGUUUCCAGCUAUACCAUACAUAGAUAUGCGACCUUUCAAUGAAGUUAAACUGUGUGUAUGAGGCAUGCAG
This is a long non-coding RNA of Oreochromis niloticus (Nile tilapia), 1785 nucleotides long. The record is from Ensembl. NCBI's taxonomy places the organism in Eukaryota, Metazoa, Chordata, Actinopteri, Cichliformes, Cichlidae.